CCUUAAAGCAGCUAAUUACUUCGCUCCCACCAAUUUUGAUGGGAGUUAAAAGCCUGCAUCUCCAUGAGAACUAGAGAUUAACCACCCAAGAUUUGUUUCAAUCAAACCUCUGUCAGAUAACAUCACUGGAUGCAUUCAUUUUGUCUGUGGGCGUUUCGUGCCUCACUGUCAACUCCUCCUGCAAAGGAAUCAGGAACACUGCUUUAAGGAGGAAAUGGAGAUGUACAGUCAGUGUGCACAGAAGACAUGGCAAGUAGGCUCCAAAGACAGAGUAGACUUAAAAGAACUCCAGCAGUUUCUGCUUUUAUGCUUGGCUUCUCUGUGCCUUCGUCAUCUAUUUCUAGAAAAAAUGAAGCUGAGACUUUUGAGGAUACGUGAAGUCAUCUGUUGGUAGCCUCCAUGGUUAGCUCAUCUGUAACCCCAAGCCACUUGGAUCUUGGAAAUGCGUCCUGCAUCCAGCACUGAACAGAGGCCUAACAAUGUCAUGUCUCCUUUUGGGAGGUGUGGAAAUUCAAACCCAAACUUCAAAGCUAUAGAUAUCUGAUUCCUUAAGCCUUCUCCAUCGCUUACACACCCUUCCCCACUCC
RNAcentral lists this long non-coding RNA (587 nucleotides) under Anser brachyrhynchus (Pink-footed goose). RNAcentral describes it as "lncRNA (ENSABRG00000019598.1)". Lineage: Eukaryota; Metazoa; Chordata; Aves; Anseriformes; Anatidae. The record is from RNAcentral.